Molecule: ribosomal RNA, 54 nt
Filed under: Strobilurus trullisatus
Lineage: Eukaryota; Fungi; Basidiomycota; Agaricomycetes; Agaricales; Physalacriaceae
Description: partial 28S large subunit ribosomal RNA
Source: RNAcentral
AUUUGACCUCAAAUCAAGUAGGACUACCCGCUGAACUUAAGCAUAUCAAUAAGC